Molecule: ribosomal RNA, 492 nt
Filed under: uncultured bacterium
Lineage: Bacteria
Description: partial 16S ribosomal RNA
Rfam family: Bacterial small subunit ribosomal RNA
Source: RNAcentral
AGUGAACGCUGGCGGUAGGCCUAACACAUGCAAGUCGAACGGCAGCACAGUAAGAGCUUGCUCUUACGGGUGGCGAGUGGCGGACGGGUGAGGCAUACAUCGGAAUCUACUUUUUCGUGGGGGAUAACGUAGGGAAACUUACGCUAAUACCGCAUACGACCUACGGGUGAAAGCAGGGGAUCUUCGGACCUUGCGCGAUUGAAUGAGCCGAUGUCGGAUUAGCUAGUUGGCGGGGUAAAGGCCCACCAAGGCGACGAUCCGUAGCUGGUCUGAGAGGAUGAUCAGCCACACUGGAACUGAGACACGGUCCAGACUCCUACGGGAGGCAGCAGUGGGGAAUAUUGGACAGUGGGCGCAAGCCUGAUCCAGCCAUACCGCGUGAGUGAAGAAGGCCUUCGGGUUGUAAAGCCCUUUUGUUGGGAAAGAAAAGCAGCAGGUUAAUACCCCGCUGUUCUGACGGUACCCAAAGAAUAAGCACCGGCUAACUUCGUG